CAGCCGCCGCGGGAAUACGUAGGGUGCGAGCGUUAAUCGGAAUUACUGGGCGUAAAGCGUGCGCAGGCGGUGAUGUAAGACAGAUGUGAAAUCCCCGGGCUCAACCUAGGAACUGCAUUAGUGACUGCAUCGCUGGAGUGCGGCAGAGGGGGAUGGAAUUCCGCGUGUAGCAGUGAAAUGCGUAGAUAUGCGGAGGAACACCGAUGGCGAAGGCAAUCCCCUGGGCCUGCACUGACGCUCAUGCACGAAAGCGUGGGGAGCAAACAGGAUUAGAUACCCCAGUAGUCCCUGUCUCUUAUAC
This 301-nucleotide ribosomal RNA is filed under the name uncultured bacterium. RNAcentral describes it as "partial 16S ribosomal RNA". It matches the Rfam family "Bacterial small subunit ribosomal RNA", at positions 509 to 807 of the family's 1533-position model. The record is from RNAcentral.